UAGGUAACUAUAUAGGGCACUUGGACCGG
This 29-nucleotide non-coding RNA is filed under the name Mus musculus (house mouse). Lineage: Eukaryota; Metazoa; Chordata; Mammalia; Rodentia; Muridae. The record is from RNAcentral.